This 274-nucleotide ribosomal RNA is filed under the name uncultured bacterium. Its description in RNAcentral is "partial 16S ribosomal RNA". It matches the Rfam family "Bacterial small subunit ribosomal RNA", at positions 523 to 796 of the family's 1533-position model. The record is from RNAcentral.
AUACGGAGGGUGCAAGCGUUACUCGGAAUCACUGGGCGUAAAGCGCGCGCAGGCGGGCUGAUAAGUUGGAUGUGAAAGCCUACGGCUCAACCGUAGAACUGCAUCCAAAACUAUUAGACUAGAGUGUGGGAGAGGAAGAUGGAAUUAGUUGUGUAGGGGUAAAAUCCGUAGAGAUAACUAGGAAUACCAAAAGCGAAGGCAAUCUUCCGGAACACUACUGACGCUGAGGCGCGAAAGCGUGGGGAGCAAACAGGAUUAGAAACCCCAGUAGUCC